Molecule: ribosomal RNA, 324 nt
Filed under: uncultured eukaryote
Lineage: Eukaryota
Description: partial 18S ribosomal RNA
Rfam family: Eukaryotic small subunit ribosomal RNA
Source: RNAcentral
CCCUUAGAUGUUCUGGGCCGCACGCGCGCUACACUGAUGCACUCAACGAGUCUCACCUUGACCGAAAGGUCCGGGAAAUCUUCGAACUUGCAUCGUGAUGGGGAUAGAUUAUUGCAACUAUUAAUCUUCAACGAGGAAUACCUAGUAGGCGUGUGUCAUCAGCGCGCGUCGAUUACGUCCCUGCCCUUUGUACACACCGCCCGUCGCUCCUACCGAUUGAAUGUGCCAGUGAAAAGUUCGGAUUGGAGAUAGGAGACGGCAACGUAUCCUAUUUCCGAGAAAAUCUUUAAACUUUCCCAUUUAGAGGAAGGAGAANUCGUAACA